CCUACGGGAGGCAACAGUAGGGAAUUUUCCACAAUGGGCGAAAGCCUGAUGGAGCAAUACCGCGUGCAGGAUGAAGGCCUUCGGGUCGUAAACUGCUUUUAUGUGCGAAGAAUUUGACGGUAACACAUGAAUAAGGAUCGGCUAACUACGUGCCAGCAGCCGCGGUCAUACGUAGGAUCCAAGCGUUAUCCGGAAUUACUGGGCGUAAAGAGUUGCGUAGGUGGCAUUAUAAGUGGAGCGUGAAAGCGUGCGGCUCAACCGCAUUAUUGCGUUCCAAACUGUGAAGCUUGAGUAUGGGAGAGGUAGAUGGAAUUUCUAGUGUAGGAGUGAAAUCCGUAGAUAUUAGAAGGAACACCGAUGGCGUAGGCAGUCUACUGGCCCAUUACUGACACUAAGGCACGAAAGCGUGGGAGCAAACGGGAUUAGAUACCCCGGUAGUCCACGCUGUAAACUAUGGAUGCUAGCUGUGACACACAUCGACCUGUGUCGUAGCGAAGUUAACGCGUUAAGCACGUCCGCCGUCGGGAGGUACGGUCGCGAGAAGUUAAACGUAACGUAAAUUAGAAGUUAGUUACGGCGUGAGACGNGCCGACGGACGACGACGAGGGAGGAGG
This 614-nucleotide ribosomal RNA is filed under the name uncultured bacterium. RNAcentral's name for it is "bacterial SSU rRNA". The stretch from base 1 to 520 matches the Rfam family "Bacterial small subunit ribosomal RNA", at positions 338 to 873 of the family's 1533-position model. The record is from RNAcentral.